GGUUGUCGUCAGCUCGUGUCGUGAGAUGUUGGGUUAAGUACCCGCAACGAGCGCAACCCUUGUGUUUAGUUUGCAAACAGGUCAAGCUGUGCACUCUAGACAGGACUGCCGUGGACAACACGGAGGAAGGUGGGGAUGACGUCAAAUCAUCAUGCCCCUUAUGAUCUGGGCUACACACGUGCUACAAUGGCCGGUACAACGGGCAGCGAAGGAGCGAUCCGGAGCGAAUCCUAAAAAGCCGGUCCCAGUUCGGAUUGCAGGCUGAAACUCGCCUACAUGAAGUUGGAGUUGCUAGUAAUCGCGAAUCAGAAUGUCGCGGUGAAUGCGUUCCCGGGUCUU
Molecule: ribosomal RNA, 339 nt
Filed under: uncultured Fusibacter sp.
Lineage: Bacteria; Bacillati; Bacillota; Clostridia; Eubacteriales; Fusibacteraceae
Description: bacterial SSU rRNA
Rfam family: Bacterial small subunit ribosomal RNA
Source: RNAcentral